AUUGAACGCUGGCGGCAUGCCUUACACAUGCAAGUCGAACGGUAACAGGUCUUCGGACGCUGACGAGUGGCGAACGGGUGAGUAAUACAUCGGAACGUGCCCAGUCGUGGGGGAUAACUACUCGAAAGAGUAGCUAAUACCGCAUACGAUCUGAGGAUGAAAGCGGGGGACCUUCGGGCCUCGCGCGAUUGGAGCGGCCGAUGGCAGAUUAGGUAGUUGGUGGGAUAAAAGCUUACCAAGCCGACGAUCUGUAGCUGGUCUGAGAGGACGACCAGCCACACUGGGACUGAGACACGGCCCAGACUCCUACGGGAGGCAGCAGUGGGGAAUUUUGGACAAUGGGCGAAAGCCUGAUCCAGCAAUGCCGCGUGCAGGAUGAAGGCCU
RNAcentral lists this ribosomal RNA (385 nucleotides) under uncultured bacterium. Its description in RNAcentral is "bacterial SSU rRNA". It matches the Rfam family "Bacterial small subunit ribosomal RNA", at positions 30 to 417 of the family's 1533-position model. The record is from RNAcentral.